RNAcentral lists this transfer RNA (69 nucleotides) under Tupaia splendidula (ruddy tree shrew). Its description in RNAcentral is "tRNA-His". It matches the Rfam family "tRNA". From Rfam's summary of the family: Transfer RNA (tRNA) molecules are approximately 80 nucleotides in length. Their secondary structure includes four short double-helical elements and three loops (D, anti-codon, and T loops). Further hydrogen bonds mediate the characteristic L-shaped molecular structure. tRNAs have two regions of fundamental functional importance: the anti-codon, which is responsible for specific mRNA codon recognition, and the 3' end, to which the tRNAs corresponding amino acid is attached (by aminoacyl-tRNA synthetases). tRNAs cope with the degeneracy of the genetic code in two manners: having more than one tRNA (with a specific anti-codon) for a particular amino acid; and 'wobble' base-pairing, i.e. permitting non-standard base-pairing at the 3rd anti-codon position. The record is from RNAcentral. Lineage: Eukaryota; Metazoa; Chordata; Mammalia; Scandentia; Tupaiidae.
GUUAAUAUAGUUUAAAAAAAACACUAGAUUGUGAAUCUAGAAAUAGGAGAUCAGCCUUCCUUAUUAACC